CCGACGGUUCCAUUUAUUAGAUACUCGAAAAUUUUGAUUCGGUUCGGUUCUCUCAACUGCAAAGCAGUGUGAGUUCGCGAUCACUGGAAUGUACAUAUGUGUACAAUCCGUUCACAACUUUCCACACACCGGCUCUAGCCCAAUAACCCACUCCAACAUGUAUUUCGGCACUGCAUAUCCAUUUCUCUAAAGUAGGAGCGUACAUGCUCAAUAUCAACGGCACAUGCAAACCCGGAGCUCAGGAUGACUCGCCCAAGAACAUCAAAAUAUCUUGGGUGUCUUUGAGCUCCAUCGCGCAACAUUUCCAUGGCUAUGUUGAUGUGUGAAGCAAAAAUACCAAUAAAAAGAUAGGUUCAUUUAAAUAAUAAUGAGAAUACACUUACAUCAUUGGCAAGACAAGAUUACUUCGCCAGUACAUCUUCAAAUCACUUUUUAGCGUUCGAAAUCUUCUCACCGAUCUUGUAACUAUAUCUAAAAAAUGAAAAU
RNAcentral lists this long non-coding RNA (486 nucleotides) under Olea europaea subsp. europaea. The record is from RNAcentral. Lineage: Eukaryota; Viridiplantae; Streptophyta; Magnoliopsida; Lamiales; Oleaceae.